RNAcentral lists this transfer RNA (127 nucleotides) under Pyrenophora seminiperda CCB06. RNAcentral's name for it is "tRNA-Und (NNN) (tRNA-Und-NNN-1-1)". It matches the Rfam family "tRNA". Rfam says of the family: Transfer RNA (tRNA) molecules are approximately 80 nucleotides in length. Lineage: Eukaryota; Fungi; Ascomycota; Dothideomycetes; Pleosporales; Pleosporaceae. The record is from Rfam by way of RNAcentral.
GGUCGCUUAGCUCAGUUGGUUAGAGCGUGGUGCUAAUAACGCCAAGGUAUGUCUUCUAAUCAAUCUUUCCACCCCGAGGGUCCAACUAACAAAAAAUAGGUCGCGAGUUCGACCCUCGUAGUGACCA